GUCCCUAUCGUCUAGGGGUUAGGACAUCACCCUUUCACGGUGAAAACAGGGGUUCGAAUCCCCUUAGGGACG
RNAcentral lists this transfer RNA (72 nucleotides) under Candidatus Babela massiliensis. RNAcentral describes it as "delta proteobacterium BABL1 tRNA". It matches the Rfam family "tRNA". From Rfam's summary of the family: Transfer RNA (tRNA) molecules are approximately 80 nucleotides in length. The record is from Rfam by way of RNAcentral. Lineage: Bacteria; Candidatus Babeliae; Candidatus Babeliales; Candidatus Babeliaceae.